GAUGAACGCUGGCGGCGUGCCUAAUACAUGCAAGUAGAACGCUGAAGGAAGGAGCUUGCUCUUUCCGGAUGAGUUGCGAACGGGUGAGUAACGCGUAGGUAACCUGCCUGGUAGCGGGGGAUAACUAUUGGAAACGAUAGCUAAUACCGCAUAACAGUAGAUGUUGCAUGAUAUCUACUUAAAAGUUGCAAUUGCACCACUACCAGAUGGACCUGCGUUGUAUUAGCUAGUUGGUGAGGUAACGGCUCACCAAGGCGACGAUACAUAGCCGACCUGAGAGGGUGAUCGGCCACACUGGGACUGAGACACGGCCCAGACUCCUACGGGAGGCAGCAGUAGGGAAUCUUCGGCAAUAGACGGAAGUCUGACCGAGCAACGCCGCGUGAGUGAAGAAGGUUUUCGGAUCGUAAAGCUCUGUUGUAAGAGAAGAACGAGUGUGAGAGUGGAAAGUUCACACUGUGACGGUAUCUUACCAGAAAGGGACGGCUAACUACGUG
Molecule: ribosomal RNA, 497 nt
Filed under: uncultured bacterium
Lineage: Bacteria
Description: partial 16S ribosomal RNA
Rfam family: Bacterial small subunit ribosomal RNA
Source: RNAcentral